This is a long non-coding RNA of Manis pentadactyla (Chinese pangolin), 2212 nucleotides long. RefSeq lists it as uncharacterized. The transcript is spliced from 3 exons. The record is from RefSeq and is a predicted model, not a curated record. NCBI's taxonomy places the organism in Eukaryota, Metazoa, Chordata, Mammalia, Pholidota, Manidae.
CCCUUCUCCUUCUAAUCUUCUGGAGGAAGAGCAUCCUCAAGGGGCAACACUCCUGGCUUCAGGAUUCCCUAGUGACCUCAUUCAUCUAAGCGGUAGCACUGAUCCAAGUGGGUGGUACCUGUGAUGGUUUGCUCUUGUUGGAAGGGGCAGGGGUGGGGCCAUUCCAACUGUACACAGAGGAAAUGGGAGAAUAGGGUUCUAGGGGAGCAAUCCUCAAGGUAACUUUGGUCUCAAUACCUGCCAGGUCUCCAUUGGUUAAGGUUUUGGCAGCAGCUCUAGGUGCUGGGGUAAACGAGGAAGGAGAGGAGGGAGGAGGCUCGUAGUUGAGCCUCCAGAGUCAACAAAGGCAUAAAGGGGGUUCUAAGUAGGCGAGCCUGGUGGAGAUCCAAGAUCCUCAUCAGGGGCCAAGAGGAAGAGGCCUGAGUCAAGGUCUGGCCUCAGAGAGACUGCCAGAUUUGUUGGGAAAGAUCAUAUUGGGUCACCCAAUGGGCUAAGGCAGCCAUGAGAAAAAAAUUGCCAUGAUGGGAAAGAGGUUCUGGCCAUGGGCUCUCUUGCUCCCACAGAUGCCUGCGUGGGCAAGGAGAGGCGGGUUCGAGGUCCUGGUUAAGUCAGAACUGCAGAUCUCAUGCAGAGUAAACAUCUCCAUUACCCUCUAAAUGGAAAAUAGAGCAGACUCGACAAUAGAAAGAAUUCUGAGUGCAAAAGGUACAACGGGUUAUAGAAUCAAGGUGAGUCAGAAGGCUCUUAGCUUCCACUGGGAGCUGCUGGUGAAGAAAAGAGUAAAGGGAGAAAUUUCAGGCCAUUCUGGGUGACAUUCCUGAGGACCUGAUUGUGAGCUGCCUCCUAGGGAGGGAUACCCUGCAAGGUGAGCACAAGUGGGGACUACCUCUGGCUAGAUCUGGUGGAUCUCUCACGGCCAAGGGGAUCAUUAGAUGAGGUCUCUGGAGGAUCUCCCCAGAACAGGUAGAGGGGAAGGGAAGCCUACUAUAACAGCAGUCUUAAGAUCAGUGGCCAUCCUAUUGACUUUUAACUGGCUGCCCCAGGCCAAGCAUUUGAUAGUGAUGAGAAGGGUCUGAUUAGCUGAACUACAGAUAAUACAAAAAGUCUACAUAUCCCCCCAGCCCAUGUUAUUUAAGCCUGAACUCUAUCAUUACCUAAGGGGAUAAUUCUAACGUCACCAUAAAGAUUUAUUUGUUUAACUCAGAAGCACAGAGGGAAAAUUAUUUUUCCUCUCCCAUAUUUCCAGUUUGUAAAAUCAGUCCUAGAGCACAAAAAGAGAUAGGAAGUUGCUUGACUCAUUUAGAAGGUAAGCAAUAACAAUGGUCAUGGAUUGGAAGACUCAAUAUUGUAAAGAUAUGAGGUCUCCCCAGAUUAAUCUAUAGAUACAAAGCAAUCCCAAUCAAAAUCCCAGUAGGUUUUAUUUUCGUAACUGAAACUGACAGACCAAUUCUAACAUUCAUUUGGAAAUACAAAAGACCAAGAAUAGUCAAGGCAACGGUGAAAGAAAAUAAAGCUGGAGGGUUUCAUCCUACCAGAUACUAAGACCUAUUAUAAAGUUAUAUGUGGAAAGGAUAGUCUGUUCAGUAAAUGCUGGGUUUAUUUUACUGACACCAUGUGGGAAAAAAGUAUGUUGAACUUAUUUCAUACCAUUAAAAAAAAUCAGUUCCAGAUGUAUGGCAGAUCUAAAUGCAAAAGGUAAAAAAAAAAGCUUUUAGAGAAAAUAUCUUUGUGACCUUAGAGUAGACAAAUAUUUCUUUAAAAGCACUCAUCAUAAAACAAAAAUGUUUAAUUGGAUUAUAACAAAGUUAGGAGCUUCUAUUCUCUGAAAGACACUAUUAAAAGAGUGCCACACAUAGCGUAAGAUAUUUGAGGUACACAUAUCCAACAAGGACUUGUAUGUUGUAUAUGUGCAGUCUUUCAAAUUGGUAACAAAAAGAGAUAAACCAAUAGAAAAAUAUGGAAAAAACUUGAGUUGGCUUCAUGUAAGUGCAAGGGUCCAUAAACAUAUAAAAAGACUCAAUUUCUUUUUCAGGGAAAUGCAAAUUGAAGCUUAGAAAAGAUAAGGGUACACAUCCACCAGAAUGCUGAGUGAAAUUGGCAAUUGUUGGUGAGCCAGAGCCACUGGACCUCUCAUGCACUGCUAGGAGUAUAAACUGGUACAACCACAUUGGAAUAAUGUUCAGCAAUAUCUACAAAAGGUGAAUGUAUACAA